AGUGAACGCUGGCGGUAGGCCUAACACAUGCAAGUCGAACGGCAGCACAGUAAGAGCUUGUUCUUACGGGUGGCGAGUGGCGGACGGGUGAGGAAUACAUCGGAAUCUACUUUUUCGUGGGGGAUAACGUAGGGAAACUUACGCUAAUACCGCAUACGACCUACGGGUGAAAGCAGGGGAUCUUCGGACCUUGCGCGAUUGAAUGAGCCGAUGUCGGAUUAGCUAGUUGGCGGGGUAAAGGCCCACCAAGGCGACGAUCCGUAGCUGGUCUGAGAGGAUGAUCAGCCACACUGGAACUGAGACACGGUCCAGACUCCUACGGGAGGCAGCAGUGGGGAAUAUUGGACAAUGGGCGCAAGCCUGAUCCAGCCAUACCGCGUGGGUGAAGAAGGCCUUCGGGUUGUAAAGCCCUUUUGUUGGGAAAGAAAAGCAGCAGGUUAAUACCCCGCUGUUCCGACGGUACCCAAAGAAUAAGCACCGGCUAACUUCGUG
Molecule: ribosomal RNA, 492 nt
Filed under: uncultured bacterium
Lineage: Bacteria
Description: partial 16S ribosomal RNA
Rfam family: Bacterial small subunit ribosomal RNA
Source: RNAcentral